RNAcentral lists this ribosomal RNA (469 nucleotides) under uncultured bacterium. Its description in RNAcentral is "SSU rRNA". It matches the Rfam family "Bacterial small subunit ribosomal RNA", at positions 26 to 523 of the family's 1533-position model. The record is from RNAcentral.
AGCCUGAACGCUGGCGGCGUGGCUAAGACAUGCAAGUCGUACGGUGUAGCAAUACACAGUGGCGAACGGGUGAGUAAUGAAUCGCUAACGUGCCCCGGACUCUGGGAUAGCUAUCCGAAAAGGGUAGGUAAUACCAGAUGACAUAUCCUGGUCGCAUGACCGGGAUCUCAAAGGUCCGCCGGUCUGGGAGCGGGCGAUUUCGUAUCAGCUAGUUGGUGAGGUAACGGCUCACCAAGGCGACGACGCGUAGCCGGACUGAGAGGUUGGCCGGCCACAUUGGGACUGAGACACUGCCCAGACUCCUACGGGGGGCUGCAGUAACGAAUCUUCCGCAAUGCACGAAAGUGUGACGGGGCGACGCCGCGUGGAGGACGAAGUUCUUCGGAAUGUAAACUCCUGUCAGAGGAAAGAAAGUUCUGAUCUACCUCAGAGGAAGAGGCGGCUAACUCUGCGCCAGCAGCCGCGGUAA